AUGAACGCUAGCGAUAGGCUUAAUACAUGCAAGUUGAGGGGCAGCAUGAUAUACGCGAGUAUAUUGAUGGCGACCGGCGGACGGUGAGUAAUAGGUAGGAGACCUACCUCAGUACAGGGGGAUAGCAUAGAGAAAUCUGUCGGUAAUACCCCAUGAGGUUAUAUGAAUAGAGGCAUAUAAUCAAAGCAUAAGCGAUUAUGCGGUAUGAGAGGGGCCUACUGACCAUUAGCUAGUUGGUGAGGUAAGGGCUCACCAAGGCGAAGAUGGUUAGGGGUUUUGAGAGAGAGACCCCCCACAUUGGAACUGAGAGACGGUCCAGACUCCUACGGGAGGCAGCAGUAGGGAAUAUUGGGCAAUGGGCGAAAGCCUGACCCAGCCAUGCCGCGUGAAGGAAGACGGCCUUAUGGGUUGUAAACUUCUUUACUACGCGAAUAGAGGUUAGUACGAGAUACUAAUAGGAAGGUAGUGUAGUAAAAAAGCACCGGCUAACUCCGUG
Molecule: ribosomal RNA, 496 nt
Filed under: uncultured bacterium
Lineage: Bacteria
Description: bacterial SSU rRNA
Rfam family: Bacterial small subunit ribosomal RNA
Source: RNAcentral